Bison bison bison is the source of this 77-nucleotide small nucleolar RNA. NCBI's taxonomy places the organism in Eukaryota, Metazoa, Chordata, Mammalia, Artiodactyla, Bovidae. The record is from Ensembl.
GAUCAGUGAUGAAAAUAGCCAAAUCUGAGCAUCAGACCUUUUAGUCUACCUGAUACAUGAUCUCUGUAGUUCUGAGA